CUUGAAAAUUAAAAAAUAAUUAAAAAAAGGCAAAAUGCACCCGUUUAGAGUAAGUUUCCCGAAACAAAAUUUGUUCCAAGUGUAACACUUUCCCUUCUUCACAUCCUUAGUCACAAUGAAACCCUCUCAACUUUGGAAACCCUAUAUCGAACCCUCACUCAUGCAGUCCACACUCUGCUGUUCAAUAGACAUUCUACCA
This 199-nucleotide long non-coding RNA is filed under the name Citrus sinensis (sweet orange). RNAcentral describes it as "long non-coding RNA (CSIN_LNC004687)". The record is from RNAcentral. Lineage: Eukaryota; Viridiplantae; Streptophyta; Magnoliopsida; Sapindales; Rutaceae.